CAGUAGCCGCGGGAAAACGAGGUGGGCAAGCGUUGUUCGGAAUUAUUGGGCGUAAAGGGUGCGUAGGCGGUUUGAUAAGUCUUGUGUGAAAUCUAUGGGCUCAACCCAUAGUCUGCACAGGAAACUGUCGGGCUUGAGAGUGGGAGAGGUGAGUGGAAUUUCCGGUGUAGCGGUGAAAUGCGUAGAUAUCGGAAGGAACACCUGUGGCGAAAGCGGCUCACUGGACCAUUUCUGACGCUGAUGCACGAAAGCUAGGGGAGCAAACAGGAUUAGAUACCCCAGUAGUCCCUGUCUCUUAUAC
This 301-nucleotide ribosomal RNA is filed under the name uncultured bacterium. RNAcentral describes it as "partial 16S ribosomal RNA". It matches the Rfam family "Bacterial small subunit ribosomal RNA", at positions 509 to 807 of the family's 1533-position model. The record is from RNAcentral.